UACGGAAGGCAGCAGUGGGGAAUAUUGCACAAUGGGCGCAAGCCUGAUGCAGCCAUGCCGCGUGUAUGAAAAAGGCCUUCGGGUUGUAAAGUACUUUCAGUCGUGAGGAAGGUGUUAAGGUUAAUAACCUUAGCAAUUGACGUUAGCGACAGAAGAAGCACCGGCUAACUCCGUGCCAGCAGCCGCGGUAAUACGGAGGGUGCGAGCGUUAAUCGGAAUUACUGGGCGUAAAGGGCACGCAGGCGGUUAAUUAAAGUUGGAUGUGAAAUCCCCGGGCUUAACCUGGGAAUGGCAUUCAAGACUGGUUAGCUAGAGUCUUGUAGAGGGGGUAGAAUUCCAUGUGUAGCGGUGAAAUGCGUAGAGAUGUGGAGGAAUACCGGUGGCGAAGGCGGCCCCUGGACAAAAGACUGACGCUCAUGUGCGAAAAGCGUGGGGAGCAAAACAGGGAUUAGAUACC
This 457-nucleotide ribosomal RNA is filed under the name uncultured bacterium. RNAcentral describes it as "bacterial SSU rRNA". It matches the Rfam family "Bacterial small subunit ribosomal RNA", at positions 340 to 786 of the family's 1533-position model. The record is from RNAcentral.